UACACGACCGUACCGCAAACCGACACUGGUGCGCGAGAUGAGUAUUCUAAGGCGCUUGAGAGAACUCAGGAGAAGGAACUCGGCAAAUUGACACCGUAACUUCGGAAGAAGGUGUGCCUUUAGUAGGUGAAGGGAUUUACUCCUGGAGCCCAAUGAGGUUGCAAAAAAUCGGUGGCUGCGACUGUUUAUUAAAAACACAGCACUCUGCAAACACGAAAGUGGACGUAUAGGGUGUGACGCCUGCCCGGUGCUAGAAGAUUAAAUGAUGGGGUGCAAGCUCUUGAUUGAAGUCCCAGUAAACGGCGGCCGUAACAAUAACGGUCCUAAGGUAGCGAAAUUCCUUGUCGGGUAAGUUCCGACCUGCACGAAUGGCGUAACGAUGGCCACACUGUCUCCUCCUGAGACUCAGCGAAGUUGAAAUGUUUGUGAUGAUGCAAUCUCCCCGCGGAAAGACGGAAAGACCCCAUGAACCUUUACUGUAGCUUUGUAUUGGACUUUGAACAGAUCUGUGUAGGAUAGGUGAGGCUUUGAAGCAGGGUCGCUAGAUCUUGUGGAGCCAACGUUGAAAUACCGCCCUGGUGUGUUUGAGGUUCUAACCUAGGCCCGUAAUCCGGGUUGGGGACAGUGCAUGGUAGGCAGUUUGACUGGGGCGGUCUCCUCCCAAAGUGUAACGGAGGAGUUCGAAGGUACGCUAGUUACGGUCGGACAUCGUGACGAUAGUGCAAUGGCAUAAGCGUGCUUAACUGCGAGACUGACAAGUCGAGCAGAUGCGAAAGCAGGACAUAGUGAUCCGGUGGUUCUGUAUGGAAGGGCCAUCGCUCAACGGAUAAAAGGUACUCUGGGGAUAACAGGCUGAUACCGCCCAAGAGUUCAUAUCGACGGCGGUGUUUGGCACCUCGAUGUCGGCUCAUCUCAUCCUGGGGCUGUAGCCGGUCCCAAGGGUAUGGCUGUUCGCCAUUUAAAGAGGUACGUGAGCUGGGUUUAAAACGUCGUGAGACAGUUUGGUCCCUAUCUUCCGUGGGCGCUGCAGAUUUGAGGAAGCCUGCUCCUAGUACGAGAGGGCCGGAGUGGACGCACCUCUGGUGUAUCGGUUGUCACGCCAGUGGCAUUGCCGAGUAGCUAUGUGCGGAAGAGAUAACCGCUGAAAGCAUCUAAGCGGGAAACUCGUUUCAAGAUGAGAUCUGCCGGGGCCUUGAGCCCCCUGAAGAGUCGUUCAAGACCAGGACGUUGAUAGGUCGGGUGUGGAAGCGCAGUAAUGCGUUAAGCUAACCGAUACUAAUUGCUCGUGCGGCUUGACCCU
Molecule: ribosomal RNA, 1300 nt
Filed under: metagenome
Description: bacterial LSU rRNA
Rfam family: Bacterial large subunit ribosomal RNA
Source: RNAcentral